UGGGGAAUAUUGCACAAUGGGGGAAACCCUGAUGCAGCGACGCCGCGUGAGCGAAGAAGGUUUUCGAAUCGUAAAGCUCUGUCCUAUGAGAAGAUAAUGACGGUAUCAUAGGAGGAAGCCCCGGCUAAAUACGUGCCAGCAGCCGCGGUAAUACGUAUGGGGCGAGCGUUGUCCGGAAUUAUUGGGCGUAAAGGGUACGUAGGCGGUUUUUUAAGUCAGGUGUCAAAGCGUGGAGCUUAACUCCAUUAAGCACUUGAAACUGAAAGACUUGAGUGAAGGAGAGGAAAGUGGAAUUCCUAGUGUAGCGGUGAAAUGCGUAGAUAUUAGGAGGAAUACCGGUGGCGAAGGCGACUUUCUGGACUUUUACUGACGCUCAGGUACGAAAGCGUGGGGAGCGAACAGG
Molecule: ribosomal RNA, 403 nt
Filed under: Verrucomicrobiota bacterium
Lineage: Bacteria; Pseudomonadati; Verrucomicrobiota
Description: Verrucomicrobia bacterium partial 16S ribosomal RNA
Rfam family: Bacterial small subunit ribosomal RNA
Source: RNAcentral